UGGGGAAUAUUGGGCAAUGGACGCAAGUCUGACCCAGCAACGCCGCGUGAAGGAAGAAGGCUUUCGGGUUGUAAACUUCUUUUAAGAGGGAACAGAAGAAGAGGGUACCUCUUGAAUAAGCCACGGCUAACUACGUGCCAGCAGCCGCGGUAAUACGUAGGUGGCAAGCGUUGUCCGGAUUUACUGGGUGUAAAGGGCGUGUAGCCGGGGAGACAAGUCAGAUGUGAAAUCUGGAGGCUCAACCUCCAAACUGCAUUUGAAACUGUUUCUCUUGAGUAUCGGAGAGGUAAUCGGAAUUCCUAGUGUAGCGGUGAAAUGCGUAGAUAUUAGGAAGAACACCAGUGGCGAAGGCGGAUUACUGGACGACAACUGACGGUGAGGCGCGAAAGCGUGGGGAGCAAACAGG
This 406-nucleotide ribosomal RNA is filed under the name uncultured bacterium. RNAcentral describes it as "bacterial SSU rRNA". It matches the Rfam family "Bacterial small subunit ribosomal RNA", at positions 355 to 776 of the family's 1533-position model. The record is from RNAcentral.